This 440-nucleotide ribosomal RNA is filed under the name uncultured bacterium. Its description in RNAcentral is "partial 16S ribosomal RNA". It matches the Rfam family "Bacterial small subunit ribosomal RNA", at positions 354 to 787 of the family's 1533-position model. The record is from RNAcentral.
GUAGGGAAUCUUCCACAAUGGACGCAAGUCUGAUGGAGCAACGCCGCGUGAGUGAAGAAGGUUUUCGGACCGUAAAGCUCUGUUGUUGGUGAAGAAGGAUAGAGGUAGUAACUGGCCUUUAUUUGACGGUAAUCAACCAGAAAGUCACGGCUAACUACGUGCCAGCAGCCGCGGUAAUACGUAGGUGGCAAGCGUUGUCCGGAUUUAUUGGGCGUAAAGCGAGCGCAGGCGGAAGAAUAAGUCUGAUGUGAAAGCCCUCGGCUUAACCGAGGAAUUGCAUCGGAAACUGUUUUCUUGAGUGCAGAAGAGGAGAGUAGAACUCCAUGUGUAGCGGUGGAAUGCGUAGAUAUAUGGAAGAAUACCAGUGGCGAAGGCGGCUCUCUGGUCUGCAACUGACGCUGAGGCUCGAAAGCAUGGGUAGCGAACAGGAUUAGAUACCC